RNAcentral lists this ribosomal RNA (270 nucleotides) under uncultured bacterium. Its description in RNAcentral is "partial 16S ribosomal RNA". It matches the Rfam family "Bacterial small subunit ribosomal RNA", at positions 15 to 283 of the family's 1533-position model. The record is from RNAcentral.
GAUCCUGGCUCAGGACGAACGCUGGCGGCGUGCCUAACACAUGCAAGUCUAACGGAGAUAAAGAUUUCGGUUUUUAUCUUAGUGGCGCACGGGUGAGUAACACGUGAAUAACCUGACCCAAAGAGGGGGGAGUAACACCUGGAAACAGGUGCUAAUACCGCAUAAGACCACAAUGUCGCAUGACGAAGGGGUCAAAGAAAAUCGCUUUGGGAGGGGUUCGCGUCCCAUUAGGUAGUAGGCGGGGUAAUAGCCCACCUAGCCGACGAUGGG